UAUUGGACCAAAAACCUCCGCACGUAAUAACCUGGAACACGGUCUAACACUUGAUGACUGCUCUGUCAAUUCCUCGUCAUCAGUUAGGAACCUAGGUGUGUUAGAUUAUUCCGUGCAGAGU
This is a long non-coding RNA of Sinocyclocheilus anshuiensis, 121 nucleotides long. RefSeq lists it as uncharacterized. Lineage: Eukaryota; Metazoa; Chordata; Actinopteri; Cypriniformes; Cyprinidae. The transcript is spliced from 3 exons. The record is from RefSeq and is a predicted model, not a curated record.